CACUAUGCCUAGCCCUAAACAAAGGUGAAAUUCUUACACCUAUCGCCUGCCCGGGAACUACGAGCCCCAGCUUAAAACCCAAAGGACUUGGCGGUGCUUCACACCCCCCUAGAGGAGCCUGUUCUAGAACCGAUAAUCCCCGUUAAACCUCACCCUCUCUUGUUUUCCCCGCCUAUAUACCGCCGUCGUCAGCUCACCCUAUGAAGGAUAAAUAGUGAGCAUAAUUGGUAAUACCUAAAACGCCAGGUCGAGGUGUAGCGUACGAGAGGGGAAGAAAUGGGCUACAUUCACUGAAUCAGUGAACCACGGAAGAUAGCUUGAAACAACCAUCUAAAGGAGGAUUUAGCAGUAAGGAGGGAAAUAGAGCGUCCCCCUGAAAUCGGCCCUGAAGCGCGCACACACCGCCCGUCACUCUCCCCAAAACAAACACAAAACCAUAAAUAAUAAGACCCCUAGAUAAAGGGGAGGCAAGUCGUAA
RNAcentral lists this ribosomal RNA (478 nucleotides) under Gnatholepis cauerensis (eyebar goby). Its description in RNAcentral is "partial small subunit ribosomal RNA". It matches the Rfam family "Bacterial small subunit ribosomal RNA", at positions 788 to 1491 of the family's 1533-position model. The record is from RNAcentral. Lineage: Eukaryota; Metazoa; Chordata; Actinopteri; Gobiiformes; Gobiidae.